AUUGAACGCUGGCGGCAUGCCUUACACAUGCAAGUCGAACGGUAACAGGUCUUCGGAUGCUGACGAGUGGCGAACGGGUGAGUAAUACAUCGGAACGUGCCCGAUCGUGGGGGAUAACGAGGCGAAAGCUUUGCUAAUACCGCAUACGAUCUACGGAUGAAAGCGGGGGAUCUUCGGACCUCGCGCGGACGGAGCGGCCGAUGGCAGAUUAGGUAGUUGGUGGGAUAAAAGCUUACCAAGCCGACGAUCUGUAGCUGGUCUGAGAGGAUGAUCAGCCACACUGGGACUGAGACACGACCCAGACUCCUACGGGAGGCAGCAGUGGGGAAUUUUGGACAAUGGGCGAAAGCCUGAUCCAGCCAUGCCGCGUGCAGGAUGAAGGCCUUCGGGUUGUAAACUGCUUUUGUACGGAACGAAAAGCCUCUUUCUAAUAAAGAGGGGUCAUGACGGUACCGUAAGAAUAAGCACCGGCUAACUACGUG
This 482-nucleotide ribosomal RNA is filed under the name uncultured bacterium. RNAcentral's name for it is "partial 16S ribosomal RNA". It matches the Rfam family "Bacterial small subunit ribosomal RNA", at positions 30 to 507 of the family's 1533-position model. The record is from RNAcentral.